AUCUUGACUCUGAAAUCAGAUAAGAAAAUAGAUGCUAAGAUAGUAAUAGAUAGGGUAUUAUUUUAUAUGAUUAUGAAAAAGUGAGGUUUUUAGCAUGUGUCAUGUGUGUUUGUGUUUUCACUUUUACUUAAACUAUGUUUGGAUUAAUGAAGUUACAUAUUCAUGCGUGAUGUUUGUCUCUGAUGUUUCAUUAGCUUUAAAUGCAAAAUUUAAGGUUGUUGGUGCCAUUAGUUUUGGUUAUUAGUAUAUGAGAUCACCUACCAAAAGUUUUUUUGAUUUAAUGAAAUAGUUUUAGAUUUGAUGAAAUUUUAUUUGGUUGUUUAUUUUUUCUGUGCUUACUUUAUCCUGCAAAAUGUUCAUGAAGUUAGUGCCAUCCGAAAAUUAAGUACAGAAUUGAUAGAAUAUUUUAUUGUAAUGGCUUGAUACAAAAUAGAAGAUCAUAUUAGGUCGUAGUUUGUAUUGAGAUAAACAAUUUUGUUGUUUGUUCCGUUUGAUUUAUAGCAAAAUUUUAAGUUUUUAAGUGCAUUAUUUGUAACCGUGCUUUGGUUAAUAAUCAAUUUAUAUGAUACCCUUUUUUUUCUUUGAAGCCAACAAGAAGACGAACGUUAAAUUAUCUCUGAUGGAGUAUCUUCAGUGACAAGUUAUUAGUCUCUUUCAUUUCACCUUAUGCUACUUUUAAAACCCCAAUCUCUUCUUUUUUUUUUUUUCCAAUUGCAUCCUAGUUAUAUUGUAGGUAAUUUGUUUUCUCUGAUAUUUGUUCUAUUUUGGGUUUGAGCAAAGUAACUUGCUUUUUCAGAAGACAAAGUGAUUGAUGAUAUGUCUGAACUGGCUCUGUCAUUAACCUUGUGACCAUUGUUAGCAUUGGACUCCUGUUUCUUUAAAUUUGAUUAAUUUAUUGAUUUGGUGUAUUCUUUUAAUUCUUUAGGCUAUUUGCAUCUUAAUAGUGAAGAUUAACAAGGUAAAAAAAUAGAGCUUUAGCCCGAGAAGUGGAACAAAUGUUCUAUACUAUUGUAGUAUUGUUGACUCAAUAUUAGUCAUUGCCAGGUGGAAUUGUAGUAUUGGAAAAGUUUGAUGCUCUGCACAUCGGUCAUCGAGAACUCGCAAUUCAAACAUCAAGGGCUAGUCCUCCGUUUCUUUUAUCAUUUGUUGGAAUGACUAAAGUACUUGGAUGGAAUCUAGAUUGAAACAAGUCAAGCAUGAAAUGUGAUUUAGCAUAGGAUCAUAGCAUAGGUGAACCCUUUUGCGGCUCUCAGCUCUUCCACAUAUUUCAUCUUUAGCUAUGGAGCACAUGCAAGGUCCACUAUUGGAAGACUUUCUAGGACAAUCAUUGUUUUUUUUAUUUUGAAAAUGGAUCUGGCAAAAAUCCUGACAUAGAAAUUAUUAGCAGUCAAGAGGAAUUGAAAUUCUAUUACCAGGAAAAAUACAGAGGCAAAGCAGUGGAAUGGACCUCCGAUCAAUGGGGGCUGAAGGAUCAUGUAAUCCUCCUAAGAUUCGUCAAAAUGUGUCUGCCUCCGCAAAUAUUAGUAGCAUUGCCUUGCAAAGCAAUUCUACAAAUUCAGCUCCUCUGAAGCGCACAACCAGCUGGUCUUUUGAUGAGAAGCUUCUUAUACAGACCCUUUGCAAGGUUUUGCUUUAACAAAUUCUAAAUUCAGGUUCUUGUAGCUUAAUUUGUCACGGCCUUUGCUCAAGGCUUGUGAGGCCUUGGGGUAUGCUAAACCAACGCCAAUUCAGAUAUUUUCAUCGUGCAUCAGGAGAGAUGUAUGUCAUAUCACGAGCCUUGGCUAAAUUUGUAUCAAUAAACAGAUUUGUUCUCUGAACCCAUGCCCAAGAUGACGUUAGUGCUGGAUCUUGGUUAAUUAAAAAUUGGGAACUUUGCUUCAUUCUCUCUGCUGUAUUAUUGUAUUGCAUCUGUGCUAGGCUCUAUUUGUUUACUUUUGAUCAUUAAUUAUGUGCUAAUCAUUGAUAUAACAUCGACUUAUAGUAUUUGUGUU
Arachis ipaensis is the source of this 1991-nucleotide non-coding RNA. NCBI's taxonomy places the organism in Eukaryota, Viridiplantae, Streptophyta, Magnoliopsida, Fabales, Fabaceae. The record is from RefSeq and is a predicted model, not a curated record.